AAUAUUCUAAUUAUACAUCUAAGUUCUCAAAAAAGAAAAGGUAAGGAUUGUAGGAUCUAUUGAAGUUACUUUUAUGAUUGUUGUCAAUAUACUGAAAAGUUACUUUCGCGAUUGUUGUCCGUAUACGAUUCUCACGUGCUAAAAGGCAGCAGUUACAACCUUAUUUCACGCUCUUUUGUUAAGAGAGAAUGGUUACAAGUGGGGAUCCGUGUAAGAGUAUCCUACUCAAUACCAAAUACUCUCUCAGUUAUUCUAAUAGGUAUUAGGACUCACUUGAUUCACAUGAAAAUAAUUAUUCAUAUAUUUGAAAAAAUAUAAAAUUAUCAGGAGCCAUUUGAUAUUACUCCAAUUCUCCGAGGCAAAAGCCAGGAGAGAGACGCGAGGCAUGGAGGAGGGAACAGAAUUCGUUUAUUUACAACCCUCAGAUUAAUCAUUGCGGUGGGAUUUUGAAGCAAGCGAGAGUGGGGUCCACCUCUGCGGAGUACGGUAAAACGUAAUGCCAAGUGGGUGGCGAAGACUGUAGACGUGGGGAGUUGUAAUUGGUUUCAACUCGCCUAUAAACAGCUUGAUGUAACGCACGUCAGAGUAGAUACAAAAUAAAACGGAAGGACUGCACUUGGAGUCGCUUUGUUGUCGUAAGGUCUUCAUUUUGGUAAGGGAAAAAAUUUAACGUAAUAGCUCAUUUUAUUUAUAUUUUUUAAAUAAUAAUUUAAAAUAUUUUUUUGUUA
RNAcentral lists this long non-coding RNA (728 nucleotides) under Citrus x clementina. RNAcentral's name for it is "Citrus clementina (C. clementina) long non-coding RNA (CCLE_LNC000071)". Lineage: Eukaryota; Viridiplantae; Streptophyta; Magnoliopsida; Sapindales; Rutaceae. The record is from RNAcentral.